GAUGAACGCUGGCGGCGUGCUUAACACAUGCAAGUCGAACGGAAAGGCUCCUGCUUGCAGGGGUACUCGAGUGGCGAACGGGUGAGUAACACGUGGGUGAUCUGCCCAGCACUUCGGGAUAAGCCUGGGAAACUGGGUCUAAUACCGGAUAGGACGAUGGUUUGGAUGCCAUUGUGGAAAGUUUUUUCGGUGUGGGAUGAGCUCGCGGCCUAUCAGCUUGUUGGUGGGGUAAUGGCCUACCAAGGCGUCGACGGGUAGCCGGCCUGAGAGGGUGUACGGCCACAUUGGGACUGAGAUACGGCCCAGACUCCUACGGGAGGCAGCAGUGGGGAAUAUUGCACAAUGGGCGCAAGCCUGAUGCAGCGACGCCGCGUGGGGGAUGACGGCCUUCGGGUUGUAAACUCCUUUCGCUAGGGACGAAGCGCAAGUGGCGGUACCUGGAGAAGAAGCACCGGCUAACUACGUG
This 466-nucleotide ribosomal RNA is filed under the name uncultured bacterium. RNAcentral's name for it is "partial 16S ribosomal RNA". It matches the Rfam family "Bacterial small subunit ribosomal RNA", at positions 28 to 507 of the family's 1533-position model. The record is from RNAcentral.